Molecule: RNA transcript, 1247 nt
Organism: Brassica napus (rape)
Lineage: Eukaryota; Viridiplantae; Streptophyta; Magnoliopsida; Brassicales; Brassicaceae
Gene name: chlorophyll synthase, chloroplastic-like
Exons: 5
Source: RefSeq, a predicted model, not a curated record
UAGUGGAUGGAAAUGAAAACACAAAAAUACGAAAUUUCUUGAUGCUUGUAAGAGUGUUCGUGGGAAAAUGAACACAUGCAUAAAAGUGGGAAAAUGAACACAUGCAUAAAAAUACGAAGAAAUUUUCAUGAGGCUAAACAUACUGUCAUAUUGAUCGUGAUAAAAAAAUGAACACAAGUUUAAGGGUGCUUAGCAAAAGAGUUUGUGUUAGCGAUCCGUAGUCAGGGAUCAACUAAACGGGGGCUUUUAAGAGGGUUUCUAAAAAUAUUGAAGCAUUUAAUUAAAUCAAAACUCAAAAAAAUUGUUGUUAUCGAUCCUUAAUAUAGGAUUUCUGUAACCGAUUACAAAGGGGGUUUUCAACCCACGUGUCAGCAAACUAAAUAAUGAGGCAUUUUUUUUUCUUCUUUCUCGUCUUCUCUUUCUGCAAACGACAAUGGCUUCUCGAUCUCUCUCCUUCUUCAAGUUUCAGAGGUUCUCUGUGGAGAUCAAUGGCCACUUUUACUCGAAAUUGAGUUUCUUUCUAUUUUUUUUUCAUUUCAUUGAUUUGAAAUUGGUUAAAGAGAUAUGGAUCAUGACUUUUCUCUGUUUUUCUUUUUGUAAUAGUUGUGUUAUUUGUUGCAGUAAACCACAAUUGGGCAUGUAGAUCACGGGAAGACUGCUUUGACUGCUGCAAUCACAAAGGUUCUUGCUGAAGAGAGAAAAGCUAAAGCUAUUGCCUUUGAUGAAAUUGAUAAAGCUCCCGAAGAGAAGAAGAGAGGAAAUACUAUUGCUACAUGGGAGCAUUGAGAGAUUCAUCACAGAGUGGAGCAUUGGGAGCAUCUCGUGGUAGUGGUCUGCAUUAUGGCAUACCACUCCCGCUUUGUUCUAUCUUGCUUUGGGAGGGUCCUUGUUAUCUUAUAUAUACUCUGCUCCACCUCUUAAGUUGGGAAUAGCGAUUGUUUAUAACUUCAAAAGUGUUGAAGGAGACAGAGCAAUGGGCCUUCAGUCUCUCCUAGUAGCUUUUGGCACUGAGGCUGCAAAAUGGAUAUGCGUUAGUGCUAUAGACGUUACUCAGAUCUCUGUUGCCGGUAUGUAGUAUGACUUCUAUUUCUUGUGCUUGAUCUUAUGAACUAGAGGAUCAUUAGUGAAUGUCUAUUCUGGUUGUAGUGUAUCUUGUAGUGAAAGUAUUGUUUUUAAAACUCUUCUCCAAACAAGUGUAAAACAAAUUCUCUCCUUCUCUAUAUAAAAUCAUCUACAUUCCUUCUUUA